CAGCAGCCGCGGGAAUACAGAGGGUGCGAGCGUUAAUCGGAUUUACUGGGCGUAAAGCGUGCGUAGGCGGCUUUUUAAGUCGGAUGUGAAAUCCCUGAGCUUAACUUAGGGAUUGCAUUCGAUACUGGGAAGCUAGAGUAUGGGAGAGGAUGGUAGAAUUCCAGGUGUAGCGGUGAAAUGCGUAGAGAUCUGGAGGAAUACCGAUGGCGAAGGCAGCCAUCUGGCCUAAUACUGACGCUGAGGUACGAAAGCAUGGGGAGCAAACAGGAUUAGAUACCCCGGUAGUCCCUGUCUCUUAUAA
Molecule: ribosomal RNA, 301 nt
Filed under: uncultured bacterium
Lineage: Bacteria
Description: partial 16S ribosomal RNA
Rfam family: Bacterial small subunit ribosomal RNA
Source: RNAcentral